GAUGAAGAACGCAGCGAAAUGCGAUAACUAAUGUGAAUUGCAGAAUUCAGUGAAUCAUCGAGUCUUUGAACGCACAUUGCGCCCCCUGGUAUUCCGGGGGGCAUGCCUGUCCGAGCGUCUUUGCUGCCCUCAAGCACGGCUUGUGUGUUGGGCUCCGUCCCCCCGGGGACGGGCCCGAAAGGCAGCGGCGGCACCGAGUCCGGUCCUCGAGCGUAUGGGGCUUUGUCACCCGCUCUGUAGGCCCGGCCGGCGCCAGCCGACAACCCAUCAUCCUUUUCAGGUUGACCUCGGAUCAGGUAGGGAUACCCGCUGAACUUAAGCAUAUCAAUAAGCGGAGGA
This 339-nucleotide unclassified non-coding RNA is filed under the name soil metagenome. RNAcentral describes it as "partial contains 5.8S ribosomal RNA, internal transcribed spacer 2, and large subunit ribosomal RNA". The stretch from base 1 to 120 matches the Rfam family "5.8S ribosomal RNA", at positions 35 to 154 of the family's 154-position model. The record is from RNAcentral.